This is a non-coding RNA of Microdochium bolleyi, 83 nucleotides long. Lineage: Eukaryota; Fungi; Ascomycota; Sordariomycetes; Xylariales; Microdochiaceae. The record is from the annotation of a GenBank genome assembly.
GUCGAGAUAGUUCAACGGUUAGAAUACUCAUACGUUACAGAUCGUACCAUGGGUGAUGCCUGGUUCGACUCCGGCUCUCGGCG